GACGAACGCUGGCGGCGUGCCUAAUACAAGCAAGUCGAACGAGAGCAACCGGUGCUUGCACUGGUCAAUCUAGUGGCGAACGGGUGAGUAACACGUGGGUAACCUGCCCAUCAGAGGGGGAUAACAUCCGGAAACGGAUGCUAAAACCGCAUAGGUCUUCGAACCGCAUGGUUUGAAGAGGAAAAGAGGCGCAAGCUUCUGCUGAUGGAUGGACCCGCGGUGCAUUAGCUAGUUGGUGAGGUAACGGCUCACCAAGGCCGUGAUGCAUAGCCGACCUGAGAGGGUGAUCGGCCACAUUGGGACUGAGACACGGCCCAGACUCCUACGGGAGGCAGCAGUAGGGAAUCUUCCGCAAUGGACGCAAGUCUGACGGAGCAACGCCGCGUGAGUGAAGAAGGUUUUCGGAUCGUAAAACUCUGUUGUUAGAGAAGAACAAGUGCUAGAGUAACUGUUAGCGCCUUGACGGUAUCUAACCAGAAAGCCACGGCUAACUACGUG
Molecule: ribosomal RNA, 498 nt
Filed under: uncultured bacterium
Lineage: Bacteria
Description: partial 16S ribosomal RNA
Rfam family: Bacterial small subunit ribosomal RNA
Source: RNAcentral